CGUGGACUUGCUUUUCUUCUUCCCAUCCCCCCUCCAUAACCUCAAGCAAACUCAAGGAAUUGUGCCAAAAGUCCCGUUGCUAGUUACCAAGUGCAUUUUUUUAAACGUCCCUUUGAUACUUCUUUCCCUCGUGCUUGCCAUGGAAUAUGCAAGGGCAAAAGGAGGGAAAUGAGGGGGAGAAGGAUGUUUUUUCUCUUUGCCGAGUCCAACAUUUGGCUUUUUCCAUUUGUGGCAGAUCACUGUAACGCUAUUGUAAAACAACUUCCUGCCCCUUUUGGCUCACGUUCCAGAAGCUGCUAGGCUAAGUUCAUAGCACAAACUUUUUUCCCCCUUGCCGAAGAAGAGAGACAAAAAAAAAUUUCCUGCAAAUUAUUUUCCCCCUUUUCUGGCUAAUGGACUCACAAGGUGAAUUUACUGCAGCUCUUUAAGAAUGUUACACAAGAGACGUCGGUAUCCCAGCUGGAUAAUUCAUAAGCUGAAAAGCUAAAUUAAUGCUGCAUUGGUAACAUACGGGAGGCAACGUGGCCAAUUAGACAGCAUGCUGGAUCGUCUCUUCCAUUCUCACCUCUAAUCCACUGGCCUGCUGGAUGAUCCCAAUUUUUGCUUUGUGCCUUGGUUUCCUCAUCUGUGGUGAUAUUGCUCACUGGGAUGCAGAUGUUGCCAUCAGUUACUCAGCCAGGAUGGAAGAAAAAGAGCAUGUGGAAGGGAGUGGUCUAGACUAAGACAUUUUCCCCUCUCAGCCCUCAGGCAGAAGCAGUUCUGAUGAAGCUGAACAUUGCUAGAGGUUCCAGAAGAAAAUAACAGGAAUAAGGCCAGGCACGGGGUCCAUGCGGAUCCAAGUCUUUGGUGCAGGGAGCUCAGCACCACAGACAAGCCCCACAGGGGCUGAAUGCAGUUAAAAUCAGCACUAGAUCACCCACCACACCAGCUGACUUUGAAAGGAGGAGCAGGAGUGCCAGACUCCAAAACCCAAAGUCCUACAGCAGCACAGUACAGGAGUUCUCUGCAUGGAUUAUAUGGGUGCAGAAGCAAAAGAGUGUCGUUCAAUUCUCAGAUAAUUUGUGCAAAAUAGCUAUUUUUGAAUCCACAACAAUACAUGCAGCUUUCUAGUCUCUAGCAACAUGAAUUAAUGCAUAAAGUGUGGCAAGCUGGGGUCUUAUUAUACCCAGCCUGCAUUCACAGUGGUAUGCUCUGCCCCUUCCCAUCUCUUCCAUUAGCCCUGUAUCCUCAAGCAUCAGGCACAAUGAGGAAGGCAGAUUCUUUGCUCUCCUCUUCAGGACAUUCGAGAAGUCACUUUCCCCAUUUGCAGGCUUCUUCAUAGCAGGAACCCACGCAUUUCAAAUGUUUUUAAAAGAAUCUGAACAGAUAAAUGAAAUUAAGAAUCCAAUAAAAAUAACAUUACUUUGCCUUAUUAUGUUCUGUUUGUGAAAAGAAUCACUUCCUUCUUCACCCACCACUCCUCUUCCUUGCUCCUAUGGUUUCUGAACUUUCCUCACCCCAGAAGGAAGACAGCGAGACUUACUGUCAUCAGGAAAACCAAAAGGAGAAAUCCUUCUUAGCAUACAUGUCCCACUGGGGAUCACAGGGUUUAGCCCAGAUGGCUCACAACAGAUUCCAACGUGGCCAAGCAUAAAGGAGAAACUUCCAAACCAUGUGUUUGCACCAUGAUGGGCGGUAUUCCCACUGCAGGUGGGUGAAAGACUGGCACUCAGUACAACUCUCUUUCACAUUUUCUCACCUGUCCACUUCUGUGCCUGAAACAAUCGAAUCUAAUAAUACUGUUUCCAGUGAUUGCUGUUUCCCAAAAUCUUAUAUUAAAGUAUUGAGCUUUUUGUUGUAUACCAGGAGUCAAAGAAAGAGCAGUGGAGUUAGAAAACCUUGACAGACAACAAGUUUAGAAAAGUCUGUGUCCAGAGCAAAAGUCACCUGGUGAAAAACAAAAAUGUACAGUAGGUAUUUAAGACAAGCUACCUGGAAAUACAGUACCAUAUUGUCACACUGUAUGUUUAUCAGAUCUUCCCGAUGACUUAAAUGGGAACACUCUGCUUUCAUGCAUGGAAGAUUAUGCAGGCAUAGCAUAUUCGUCAGAAAAAAGUCUCUAGACACAGAAGAAGUAGGUAGACAAGGGCAGUGUGAUGAGUAUUGAGAAAAGCUUUGCAAUGGAUUGAGGCAAAGAGGUACCUUUUCCGAAAAACAAAAGCAGUGAACUGAAACAACUAGAACAAAGAAUAUACUUAGAAAGUAAUAUUUAAAAAUGGAGAUUAGGAGCAUAAGGACUGAACCAAAGACAUAAGGACAAUUUAUUGACAUACAUCAGAAGCAGGAAGGCUGCACAACAGUUGUCUGGCAAGUCUGAAAUACUACUGGGAAACAAAGGGGGCGAAUAAAGAGGAGAAAAAACACUGCAGAAAAGAUAAUGGCUGAUUGUGAUCUUGAGAUAUUCAGUCAUGCAAAAGGGUAAACUCACCCUUUCUCACUCUGUAUGACCAUAUUAACAUUUCUUGUUAGCUGGGU
Molecule: long non-coding RNA, 2514 nt
Organism: Tyto alba (common barn owl)
Lineage: Eukaryota; Metazoa; Chordata; Aves; Strigiformes; Tytonidae
Exons: 3
Source: RefSeq, a predicted model, not a curated record